ACAUGAGGAAGUAAAUAUCUUUUGAAGAACAACACUGGAUGUUGACUGACUUUGAAGGUGCUACAAGAAAAAAUGAAGUAAGGUUACACAUCUGGUCUAGCAAAGAGAAAAGGUUUGAAGCUGCAUUUGGAGACUCAUGUGUUUGGCUUGUGAGCUUGAUUUGCUUCCCUAGGCUUCCAUGAAAAUUUUGAUCUAGGAUGCAGUGAUUUGAGGUGUAACUUUGCGCUUACUAGAUCUCUCAACUCAAUCUUAGAUGAAGUCGGUUUUAGCAGAACAUGACUAUAUGUAAAGACCUAUCCAAACUCUUUUGAACAAUGAGCAGCUCAGUAUUGUCGAUAUUUUGAUGUUUUGACUGCUACUUGAUUUAUUAAAAUAUGGCCAAUAUUUUGACAUGACAAACAGCAUAAAAAAACAUGUUAUUAUCC
Non-coding RNA from Prunus avium (sweet cherry), 425 nucleotides. The record is from RefSeq and is a predicted model, not a curated record. Lineage: Eukaryota; Viridiplantae; Streptophyta; Magnoliopsida; Rosales; Rosaceae.